AGGGAGUGUCUAACGCAGCAUUAGUCCAGCACAUUCUCAAAUAAGGGACAGACUUAAAAUUGAUUCUGCAGGAAGCAAAAGAUAUGCUGAAUCAUUUGACUGCUCUGAUAAGCAAAGACAAACCUGCUCCAGCACUCUGGCAGGAGCUGUUAGAGCUGCAAGGAUGCCUUAAUGAUGACUCAUUAAUUACUUGCAUAUCAGAAGCCUCUCUUGUGUGGGUGGUACGGAUGCAAAGGAUUGCCUGAAAAGGAUUGUGCGGCGAAUCUUGGCCGACAAGGUUUUAUAACUAAAGGCCAAAGAGGAGAAAAGUGUGCAUUCAAGGGGCUUUCAAAGGUGCAGACCAUGAUAUGCAAAGCAGUACAGAAGAACAAUGGGUGCAUGGAGGCUUCAGAUAACAUCAUCGAAGAAAGCAGCAGCAGAAAAUCGGGGUAGAAAGCAGACGAGAGAACGAAACUAAAUGAUAGCAUAUUAUAAGGAAGUGACAACUGUGUUUCUGUGCCCUGUGAAUUUACUGGAACGUUAGUCCUUCUCUAACAUGCAGGCUUUGAUGGCUGCUGCUACAAGCCAGUCCGACACAGUGCCCUAAACACAUAUUGUAGUCUGCCUACAAUUGUCUCCACUGCUCCUGCGGAUGCGGGUGAAGGUAUUGUCUCCUGCUGGAUUAGCAUGUACUCACCAGAGCGUUGCCAGGCCGGUGCAGUUCUAGACCUGCCCCCAGUUCAGUUCUUGGCCUGUGUAGUGGGCGGCGCCCUGGCUGGUCCUGGUCCUGUUCCUCAUUCCCACUCCCUGCAUCGGGUAUCUCUUGCUCCUGUGCCUGCGUAGCCACAUCAAGGAUGUCGUGAUCGUCGAACUCAUCAGCCACUUGCACAUCACGGAUGUAGCCCGUGCUGCGUCACUGCUACCAACAUCACUUGUUGCUAUGGGAACGGCCAACAUUUCAUCUUCAGACUCGCUGGUGUCAACC
Molecule: long non-coding RNA, 964 nt
Filed under: Pomacea canaliculata
Lineage: Eukaryota; Metazoa; Mollusca; Gastropoda; Architaenioglossa; Ampullariidae
Description: uncharacterized LOC112577141, transcript variant X2
Source: RNAcentral